This 77-nucleotide transfer RNA is filed under the name Candidatus Saccharimonadota bacterium. Its description in RNAcentral is "tRNA-Val". It matches the Rfam family "tRNA". From Rfam's summary of the family: Transfer RNA (tRNA) molecules are approximately 80 nucleotides in length. Their secondary structure includes four short double-helical elements and three loops (D, anti-codon, and T loops). The record is from RNAcentral. Lineage: Bacteria; Candidatus Saccharimonadota.
GGUUCUUUAGCUCAGUUGGCUAGAGCGCAGCAUUCACAUUGCUGAGGUCGUAGGUUCGAGACCUACAAGAACCACCA